This 250-nucleotide ribosomal RNA is filed under the name uncultured bacterium. RNAcentral's name for it is "partial 16S ribosomal RNA". It matches the Rfam family "Bacterial small subunit ribosomal RNA", at positions 15 to 257 of the family's 1533-position model. The record is from RNAcentral.
GAUCAUGGCUCAGGAUGAACGCUAGCUACAGGCUUAACACAUGCAAGUCGAGGGGCAUCAGAAAGAAAGCUUGCUUUCUUUGCUGGCGACCGGCGCACGGGUGAGUAACACGUAUCCAACCUGCCCUUUACUCGGGGAUAGCCUUUCGAAAGAAAGAUUAAUACCCGAUGGGAUAAUGAUUCCGCAUGGUUUCAUUAUUAAAGGAUUCCGGUAAAGGAUGGGGAUGCGUUCCAUUAGGUUGUUGGUGAGG